This 506-nucleotide ribosomal RNA is filed under the name uncultured bacterium. RNAcentral's name for it is "bacterial SSU rRNA". It matches the Rfam family "Bacterial small subunit ribosomal RNA", at positions 28 to 526 of the family's 1533-position model. The record is from RNAcentral.
GACGAACGCUGGCGGCGUGGAUUAGGCAUGCAAGUCGAACGGUAUCAUCCUUUCGGGGGUGAGAGAGUGGCGAACUGGUGAGUAACACGUAGGUUAUCUACCCUCAAGACGGGGACAACCCAGGGAAACUUGGGCUAAUACCGGAUGUGAGCAACUUUUAGUUGUUUGAAAGGUGGCGUAAGCUGUCGCUUGGGGAUGAGCCUGCGUCCUAUUAGUUAGUUGGUGAGGUAACGGCUCACCUAGGCAAUGAUAGGUAGGCGGCCUUAACGGGUGGUCGCCCACACUGGGAUUGAGAUACGGCCCAGACUCCUACGGGAGGCAGCAGUCGAGAAUAGUCUACAAUGGUCGGAAGACUGAUAGUGCGACGCCGCGUGAACGAUGAAUCCCUUCGGGGUGUAAAGUUCUUUUAUAUGUGAGCAGUGCUUCUUAUAUUAACAGUAUGGGGAGAGAGAUAUUAGCAUAUGAAUAAGCAACGGCUAACUCCGUGCCAGCAGCCGCGGUAAAAA